Eleginops maclovinus (Patagonian blennie) is the source of this 502-nucleotide long non-coding RNA. RefSeq lists it as uncharacterized. The transcript is spliced from 3 exons. NCBI's taxonomy places the organism in Eukaryota, Metazoa, Chordata, Actinopteri, Perciformes, Eleginopidae. The record is from RefSeq and is a predicted model, not a curated record.
CCAACCGAUGAACAGAGGUGGGAAGUAACCAAGUACAUUUACUUUAAUACUUUACUUAAGUGCAAUUUUGAGAUGCUUGUACUUUACUUGAGUAUUUCCAUGUUAUGCUACUUUGUACUUCUACUCCACUACAAUUCAAAGGUCAUUAAACCUUAGGGUCGAUGCAGUGACAGAAGGGGACUGUGCUGAAGAACUGCUUCAGCUCUCCAAACACACAGUUGAAGAAUAUUUUGUGGCACCACCAGAUUGCUUCAGCAGCUCGUUGGCCUUGGAGAAAUGGCUGCACCCGAAGAAUCCUCUAUGAACGGACAGUGGGGAAGGAUGCACCGCCUGCAGGACGUGGUGGCGUGUCUACAAACACAGAACACAAAGCAUGAACAUUUGACUCUGAUUUAUCCAGCUGUUUCAUUUUUCUUUUCUUAUGUCCUAUUUAUAAUAUGUUGCCAUACCUACACUGUAGCUCAGCUCCUGUGCAUAUGAUCAUUAAAACCCUUGAAAUGAA